This 67-nucleotide transfer RNA is filed under the name bovine gut metagenome. It matches the Rfam family "tRNA". From Rfam's summary of the family: Transfer RNA (tRNA) molecules are approximately 80 nucleotides in length. The record is from RNAcentral.
CUUGUAGCUCAGCUGGAUAGAGCAACUGCCUUCUAAGCAGUGGGUCGGGGGUUCGAGUCCCUCCAAG